GACGAACGCUGGCGGCGUGCUUAACACAUGCAAGUCGAACGGAAAGGCCCUGCUUUUGUGGGGUGCUCGAGUGGCGAACGGGUGAGUAACACGUGAGUAUCCUGCCCCUGACUUUGGGAUAACUUCAGGAAACUGGGGCUAAUACCGCAUAGGAGCUCCUGCUGCAUGGUGGGGGUUGGAAAGUUUCGGCGGUUGGGGAUGGACUCGCGGCUUAUCAGCUUGUUGGGCGAGUAGUGGCUUACCAAGGCUUUGAGGGGUAGGCGGCAUGGGAGGGUGAACGGGCACAUGGGGCCUGAGAUACGGCGCAGAAUCCUACGGGAGGCAGCAGUGGGGAGCCUUGCACAAUGGCCGGGAGCCUGAGGCGGCGAUGCCGCGUGCGGGAUGACCGCCUUCGGGUGGUAAACAGCUUUCGACUGUGAUGAAGCGUGAGUGACGGUACUGGGUAAAGAAGCACCGGCUAACUACGUG
This 468-nucleotide ribosomal RNA is filed under the name uncultured bacterium. Its description in RNAcentral is "partial 16S ribosomal RNA". It matches the Rfam family "Bacterial small subunit ribosomal RNA", at positions 28 to 507 of the family's 1533-position model. The record is from RNAcentral.